GACGAACGCUGGCGGCGUGCUUAACACAUGCAAGUCGAACGGAAAGGCCCUGCUUGCAGGGUACUCGAGUGGCGAACGGGUGAGUAACACGUGGGUGAUCUGCCCUGCACUUCGGGAUAAGCCUGGGAAACUGGGUCUAAUACCGGAUAGGAGCCAUUUUUAGUGUGAUGGUUGGAAAGUUUUUUUCGGUGUAGGAUGAGCUCGCGGCCUAUCAGCUUGUUGGUGGGGUAAUGGCCUACCAAGGCGGCGACGGGUAGCCGGCCUGAGAGGGUGGACGGCCACAUUGGGACUGAGAUACGGCCCAGACUCCUACGGGAGGCAGCAGUGGGGAAUAUUGCACAAUGGGCGCAAGCCUGAUACAGCGACGCCGCGUGGGGGAUGACGGCCUUCGGGUUGUAAACUCCUUUCGCUAGGGACGAAGCUUUUUGUGACGGUACCUAGAUAAGAAGCACCGGCUAACUACGUG
Molecule: ribosomal RNA, 466 nt
Filed under: uncultured bacterium
Lineage: Bacteria
Description: partial 16S ribosomal RNA
Rfam family: Bacterial small subunit ribosomal RNA
Source: RNAcentral